GCCUGCUUAGCUCAGUGGUUAGAGCGCUGGGGAAAUAUCAAUCCUAGUCGUCGUGUGUUCCCUAGUGACGCAAGUUCGAUUCUCGCAGUGGGCA
Lentinula raphanica is the source of this 94-nucleotide non-coding RNA. NCBI's taxonomy places the organism in Eukaryota, Fungi, Basidiomycota, Agaricomycetes, Agaricales, Omphalotaceae. The record is from the annotation of a GenBank genome assembly.